GACGAACGCUGGUGGCGUGCUUAACACAUGCAAGUCGAACGGGAUUUAGUAAACAGCAGCCUCGGUGGAAGAUUACUAAUGAGAGUGGCGAACGGGUGAGUAACGCGUGAGCAACCUGCCUUUGACAGGGGGAUAGCCUCGUGAAACCGGGAUUAAUACCGCAUCAAAUCGUUGAAACACAUGUUUUAACGGUCAAAGAUUUAUCGGUCAUAUAUGGGCUCGCGUCUGAUUAGCUAGUUGGUGAGAUAACAGCACACAAAGGCGACGAUCAGUAGCCGGUCUGAGAGGAUGAACGGCCACAUUGGAACUGAGACACGGUCCAAACUCCUACGGGAGGCAGCAGUGGGGAAUAUUGCACAAUGGGGGAAACCCUGAUGCAGCGACGCCGCGUGAACGAAGAAGGUAUUCGUAUCGUAAAGUUCUGUCCUAUGGGAAGAUAAUGACAGUACCAUAGAAGAAAGCUCCGGCUAAAUACGUG
Molecule: ribosomal RNA, 478 nt
Filed under: uncultured bacterium
Lineage: Bacteria
Description: partial 16S ribosomal RNA
Rfam family: Bacterial small subunit ribosomal RNA
Source: RNAcentral